This 640-nucleotide ribosomal RNA is filed under the name uncultured Basidiomycota. RNAcentral's name for it is "LSU rRNA". It matches the Rfam family "Eukaryotic large subunit ribosomal RNA", at positions 1 to 627 of the family's 3401-position model. The record is from RNAcentral. Lineage: Eukaryota; Fungi; Basidiomycota.
CCUCAAAUCAGGCGGGACUACCCGCUGAACUUAAGCAUAUCAAUAAGCGGAGGAAAAGAAACUAACAAGGAUUCCCCUAGUAACUGCGAGUGAAGCGGGAAAAGCUCAAAUUUAAAAUCUGGCAGUCUUUGGCUGUCCGAGUUGUAGUCUGGAGAAGCGUCUUCCGCGCUGGACCGUGUACAAGUCUCCUGGAACGGAGCGUCAUAGAGGGUGAGAAUCCCGUCUUUGACACGGGCUACCAGUGCUUUGUGAUGCGCUCUCAAAGAGUCGAGUUGUUUGGGAAUGCAGCUCAAAAUGGGUGGUAAACUCCAUCUAAAGCUAAAUAUUGGCGAGAGACCGAUAGCGAACAAGUACCGUGAGGGAAAGAUGAAAAGCACUUUGGAAAGAGAGUUAAACAGUACGUGAAAUUGCUGAAAGGGAAACGCUUGAAGUCAGUCGCGUCCGCUAGAACUCAGCCUGGCUUUUGCUUGGUGCAUUUUCUAGUGGACGGGCCAGCAUCACUUUUGGCUGCGGGAUAAAGGUCGCAGGAAUGUGGCACCUUCGGGUGUGUUAUAGCCUGUGAUUGUAUACCGUGGCUGGGAGUGAGGACCGCAGCACGCCUUCAUGGCGGGGGUUCGCCCACCUUCGUGCUUAGGAUGCA